ACGCACGCUGGCGGCGUGCUUCACACCUGCAAGUCGAACGGAAAGGCCCUGCUUUUGUGGGGUGCUCGAGUGGCGAACGGGUGAGUAACACGUGAGUAACCUGCCCUUGACUUUGGGAUAACUUCAGGAAACUGGGGCUAAUACCGGAUAGGAGCUCCUGCUGCAUGGUGGGGGUUGGAAAGUUUCGGCGGUUGGGGAUGGACUCGCGGCUUAUCAGCUUGUUGGUGGGGUAGUGGCUUACCAAGGCUUUGACGGGUAGCCGGCCUGAGAGGGUGACCGGCCACAUUGGGACUGAGAUACGGCCCAGACUCCUACGGGAGGCAGCAGUGGGGAAUAUUGCACAAUGGGCGGAAGCCUGAUGCAGCAACGCCGCGUGCGGGAUGACGGCCUUCGGGUUGUAAACCGCUUUCGCCUGUGACGAAGCGUGAGUGACGGUAAUGGGUAAAGAGGCACCGGCUAACUACGUG
This 467-nucleotide ribosomal RNA is filed under the name uncultured bacterium. RNAcentral's name for it is "partial 16S ribosomal RNA". It matches the Rfam family "Bacterial small subunit ribosomal RNA", at positions 29 to 507 of the family's 1533-position model. The record is from RNAcentral.